This 240-nucleotide unclassified non-coding RNA is filed under the name soil metagenome. RNAcentral describes it as "partial contains 5.8S ribosomal RNA, internal transcribed spacer 2, and large subunit ribosomal RNA". The record is from RNAcentral.
AACGGUCUAUACCUGCGGUACCUGCGGAGGGAUCAUUACCGAGUUAUCAACUCCCAAACCCCUGUGAACAUACCCGAACGUUGCCUCGGCGGGACCGCCCCGGCGCCCCUAGCGGCCCGGAACCAGGCGCCCGCCGGAGGACCCAAACUCUUGCUUUAAACAGUGGCAUACUCUCUGAGUCUCACAAACAAUAAAUAAAUCAAAACUUUCAGCAACGGAUCUCUAGAUCGGAAGAGCACA